CCUACGGGUGGCAGCAGUGGGGAAUAUUGGACAAUGGGCGAAAGCCUGAUCCAGCCAUGCCGCGUGUGUGAAGAAGGCCUUCGGGUUGUAAAGCACUUUCAGUGGGGAAGAAAGCCUUGGGGCUAAUACCCUCGAGGAAGGACAUCACCCACAGAAGAAGCACCGGCUAACUCCGUGCCAGCAGCCGCGGUAAUACGGAGGGUGCGAGCGUUAAUCGGAAUUACUGGGCGUAAAGCGCGCGUAGGCGGUCUGAUAAGCCGGUUGUGAAAGCCCCGGGCUCAACCUGGGAACGGCAUCCGGAACUGUCAGGCUAGAGGGCAGGAGAGGAAGGUAGAAUUCCCGGUGUAGCGGUGAAAUGCGUAGAGAUCGGGAGGAAUACCAGUGGCGAAGGCGGUCUUCUGGACUGACACUGGCGCUGAGGUGCGAAAGCGUGGGUAGCAAACAGGAUUAGAUACCCGGGUAGUC
RNAcentral lists this ribosomal RNA (465 nucleotides) under Vreelandella stevensii. RNAcentral describes it as "partial 16S ribosomal RNA". It matches the Rfam family "Bacterial small subunit ribosomal RNA", at positions 338 to 795 of the family's 1533-position model. Lineage: Bacteria; Pseudomonadati; Pseudomonadota; Gammaproteobacteria; Oceanospirillales; Halomonadaceae. The record is from RNAcentral.